Molecule: long non-coding RNA, 257 nt
Organism: Cydia fagiglandana
Lineage: Eukaryota; Metazoa; Arthropoda; Insecta; Lepidoptera; Tortricidae
Exons: 3
Source: RefSeq, a predicted model, not a curated record
CUAUCAACAGUCUGAAGGAUGUCCUCGAUUUUAUUAUAUAUUUGGUCCUAAUCAUCGAGGUGAUUCUGAACAACAUGGCCCAUGGCUUGGGCACACUCUGCGUGAGACUGGUGGCCGUCAUCAUCAAGAUUGCCGUCUGCGUCAAGGGAUGCCCUGGUGACAAGGGCAUUUGCACUAAGGCCUGGAACCAGAGGUUCAAGAUCGACGGAGACGGCUCCAACGGCGCUGAGCUCAUCAGGGUCUUCUACCUGUCCAAG